GCAACCCUCUUGCCUCAGCCUUCUCAGUGCUGGAUUACAGGUUGGGCAUCAACAGGGACAUAGCUGGAAGAUGGAUCUUCAUCUAAGACCAGAGAAAUAAAAGUGAUGACAGGAAGGGAUGGAAGGCAUCAAGCAAAGUCAGUAUAUAGUACUGAGCUUUGAAUCCAGGAAACAACACCAGGACUCCUCAGGUCAGCACUCUGAGAGAACACUUGAGCCUGGCCGUUCACCUGGAGCUGUGUGUCCAGCGAUUAGCUCUGUACAUAGCCUGCACAGAUGGCCUGCUUUUCCUCUUCCUGUGCUUAAUUCUCACUGAAGCCAGAGUGGUAAAUGCCCAUGAGGAUUCCAUGGAGGUCUGUUCAGAGCCAGCAGUGCAGCAGAGACCAGGCACCCAGGUUUUCACCUUCUCCUCAUUGUUCAGCAACAGCAAGCGGACUUGCUCGUCUGAGUAGAAGAGGAAAGUCUGCCGAGAGGGACAGAAAGCGGGUGACGGUGGAGAAGAAACCCUUGGAAGAGGUUUCCCCGUCUGUACUUUUCAGCAAUGAUUAUUCAGGGACACAGCCAGCUGCAGCCCGCAGCUGCGCUCCCAGCUGUGCCGAGCAUAGUGGGCGGAUGCGAUGCGUUUGUCAAGUGCUGCGGCAGCGUCCUGCGCCCGCAAACACAGCGAGGAGGGCAUGUUUGCUAUUGCUGCUGGUACACUGGGCCUUUAAGGAACUGGCUUUCUGGGCAAGUUUCAGAAAGUCUAAUACUUUUCCAGCAUUAGGAAGAUCAAGUCAACUGAGGUACACAAAACGGAGACUGCCACCACACGGUUCAGAUGAGUUUUGUGAGACUGUUAUUAUUAUUUCUUUUCUUAAGCCCCACAACUUUAAAGCUCAAUCGCUCUUACUUUCAUAAAUGUCGUAGGCGAUAUUUUUUAUUGUUUACUAUAUUCUAAAAUCGAGACAGUAGCUGAGUGUGGUGGCACAUGCCUAUAAUCUCAGCACUUGGGAGGC
This is a long non-coding RNA of Fukomys damarensis (Damara mole-rat), 995 nucleotides long. RefSeq lists it as uncharacterized. The transcript is spliced from 6 exons. The record is from RefSeq and is a predicted model, not a curated record. Lineage: Eukaryota; Metazoa; Chordata; Mammalia; Rodentia; Bathyergidae.